CUGGGUUUCGCUUUCAGUUUUGACCUUUCAGCUUGCUGUACAGACUGCUACCACGCCGGCUGUGAGAAUAAAUACAUCCUUGUAAGCCACAUGGCUUGUGGUGUUAUAGGGUAUCUAGGGGCAGUGUGGCACCCAAAUAUUUCUGGAGUGAACCUCAACUCUGUCGUCCUUACUUCAAGGACAGAACAUGCAGAGAAAUGCAUACGAACAAUCUUCCCCAACUUCAGAUCAGCGGUCCAACCUGGAGUUCAUCUCACCCCUGAUGGAAAAUCAUAGGUCUGCUUUUUCAUCUCAGUGCCUCCUGGCAGCCUGGAGUGCCCACCCCACUGUGACCCAGGAAAAACAAUCUUCAGAGCUCCUCUUCCAGCUUCCCAUCCCAAGAGAAGAGCUGCUUCCUGAUGUUGUCCCUGCCCUUGGAGGACUGUUUAAAUGGACUUCUCAAUAAACCAUGGCUGCUCGGCAUCAGCUGGGAGCCCUUCUGAG
Molecule: long non-coding RNA, 483 nt
Filed under: Cricetulus griseus (Chinese hamster)
Lineage: Eukaryota; Metazoa; Chordata; Mammalia; Rodentia; Cricetidae
Description: lncRNA (ENSCGRG00015030563.1)
Source: RNAcentral